AGCAGCGUGGCUCAGUGGAAAGAGCCUGGGCUUCAGAAUCAGAGGUCAUGGGUUCGACUCCCGGCUCUGCCA
Ornithorhynchus anatinus (platypus) is the source of this 72-nucleotide non-coding RNA. The record is from Rfam. Lineage: Eukaryota; Metazoa; Chordata; Mammalia; Monotremata; Ornithorhynchidae.